RNAcentral lists this ribosomal RNA (329 nucleotides) under uncultured eukaryote. Its description in RNAcentral is "partial 18S ribosomal RNA". It matches the Rfam family "Eukaryotic small subunit ribosomal RNA", at positions 1470 to 1796 of the family's 1831-position model. The record is from RNAcentral.
CCCUUAGAUGUUCUGGGCCGCACGCGCGCUACACUGAUGCAUUCAACGAGUCUAAAACCUGCUCUGAUAGGGGUGGGUAAUCUUUUGAAUGUGAAUCGUGAUUGGGAUAGAUGAUUGCAAUUUUUCAUCUUCAACGAGGAAUGCCUAGUAAACGCAAGUCAUCAGCUUGCAUUGAUUACGUCCCUGCCCUUUGUACACACCGCCCGUCGCUCCUACCGAUUGAAUGAUCCGAUGAAUAUCAUGGAUUGAGGAUGCAAGCAGGUUCGCCUGUCUUCAUCUUCGAGAAGUGAAGUAAAUCUUAUCAUUUAGAGGAAGGAGAAGUCGUAACA